GAGACAAUGCCAGGCUGCUGCGCUGGAGUUUGGCGCUGCAGCCCUUUGACUUUACGAUACACUAUCGCCCAGGGAAACAAAACGGCAACGCCGACGGGUUGUCCAGACAAACAGACCUUGAAAAGUGAUCUGUGAGCACUCCCCCGGACAUCCCCAAGCCGAUCCGUUGGGAUCAGACUGUGUAUGCCGGCUUGGUUCUGGGGGAGCAUUGUG
Non-coding RNA from Pelobates cultripes (western spadefoot toad), 213 nucleotides. NCBI's taxonomy places the organism in Eukaryota, Metazoa, Chordata, Amphibia, Anura, Pelobatidae. The record is from the annotation of a GenBank genome assembly.